UUUGGCAUUGCCACUGUCACUGCGGGCAGCGCAGUCGGCGUCAUGAGCAACCCACCACCCACUGCCCCGCGUGUGUGUGUGUGUGCGGGAGUGCACGAGAGCGGAUUGCACGUCGCACGAGUUUCCAUAGUGGUGUAGCUCCUGUUGUUUCCGAUGCUCCUGUUUUUGUUGCUCCCCUCUAUGGCGAAAAUGUCUCUUUGUAUGCAUUUUGCUCGCCUGGGUGUGUGUGUGCUGUGAAUGCAAUAUUUUUAAGCGGCUUGCUUUCCGUGAAUGCAUAAAAGGGGGCGAAGAAGAGUCAGCGGCCGCCUGUGCAAAUAGCGCCUUCUGUGCAGAGAAUAGAGAAGCAAGGCAAAUAAAUUCCAAGGCGACCCGUCCAACCGGCCCGCGAAUUGGCAGUCUAGUAGAGCCGCAACUUAUAAAAACAGCCAGACAAUAAAAACAAGCAGGGAUACUUGAAUGUUUACAGUGGAAAGCGGAAUGUAAUCGAUGCAACAUGGGUAACAACUUGAUAAACGUGAUGGUCACAGAAUGUCACUUAAUUAGUAUUAUAAUUUAAAGCAAGAACGAAACGAAGAGUACGAGGGAGAUAGAGGUGUGCACACCACGCCACCUAGCGUCGAUUCAUUCAUUUGCUUAACUAUUUGGUUUUGAACUAUUUGUAGUAUGUCUUAAUAAUUAGUUAGGGUGGGCGUGGUUCUCCGAUAAAACAAUUUUCCGCGUUUCUACAGACAGAAGGACGGACAUGCCUAAAUCGACUUGGCUAGUGAUCCUGAUCACGAAUAUAGAUACUAAAACGAUUCUAAGCGUCGGAAAAAUAAUAGUUGUCUCUUGAACUAGCACUUUGCCAAUCACCCAAAUGUCAGAAAUCCUUAACUCCAGUGUGCGUUAAUACCGUAACACAUUAUUGACACAUUUUCUGUGUACAUCGCUCGUCGCUCGACUGUUUAUUAUCCAUGGGACUAAAAUUUAAAUGCAAAGGCGUUGCGGGCGAUUACAUAAAAGAAAGCCGACGACCCUAAAUCAAAACAAAUUGAGCAGGCCCAACUGACCACCACAAGUGCAGAGUUUACCCACGAAGGGGAUGAUUGUUGCAGGUGGUUGGGGACUCGGGGUGCUGCACCUUGGCUUUGGCCGUAGCUAGGAUGAUUUGUGAUGGCCAGCCGGCCGAGUCGCUAGGGCCAAAAUCAACCUAGUCUGCACAGCAAACCCACUUUGAGGGGGGUUUGUUUUAGCAGGGCAAACGUAGAACCGGAGUUGAAAAACUGUACCACAGAAAGCGCAUGUCCAUUGCACUGUCUGCAGCUCUCUGUCUCUCUCUUUUUCCUCUUCUCUGCCGUUUGUUUGGGGUUGCACACGUUUUUCUGUUCCAGGGGUUUCUCUAGUGCAAGGCUGCAAUUUAUUUUGCACGAGCUUGUCAGUUGUUAGGCACGUUUCGCCACCCCCAAGCCCCGAGAGUCCCCUUACGCCUUGUGAGUGCUUGGAUUAUAUGGUUGAAAAAUUGAUUUUUUCAGUUCGUUGGCAUGUUGCCGCCUGGCCAUGUAGUUUCUUGUGUUUGACCAGGGGCAGGGACACGGACAAUGAUCCGGGGGGUAGGGGGCUGCACCGUGCGCAAUAGGUAGCUGAAAAUGAUUUUUAACCUACUUUAAGCACAGGUCGACAUUUGGACCAAGGGUCGUCGCAUGACCUUUCGUGUGUUUUCCAACGACUUAUAUACAUUUUUGAUUGAUCUUUUUGAAACAAGUUAUGGCUGGUAUACAUGCCAAGUGAGUUAUUUGUAAUACUCUAAUACUCAACGAAAACAUUUAAAUUUUUGAACACAUUAUUUUCUACACUUUAAUCAACCAUGUGAAGGGGGGAGAACAAGAUAUCAUUUUUUGGACCGCCCUAAUGUACAAUGUAUGUACAUAUAUUAUUUGAAAAUGAAUUAAGGUAACUUAUUUCGCUUGCAGUCCUUGGAAGGAUUUGGAAGCACACUGUUUUAAAGGCUUUAGGCAGAACAAUUUGAACUAGGUUCUACCCACUCCGUUUCCUUGUACUACCCUGAAAAGGUUUCCUGCUCUGCCGUUUGCCAACACUACACAUGUAUAUACCAUUUCUGUCCCACUGGAACCCGCCAUUUUUUGCGCACUCCUUCGUUAAUGACAUGGGUAUGCAUUUGUAUGGAACACAUGGAAACAAACAGAGUCUCGUGUAAACUUGCAAUGUUGUGCGAUUUGUUUACAAUUUGCUUUUCAUAGCCAACGCUAUGUGUUAUUUACGCUACUUUGCCCCGCUGCCCCGCUUACCAACACUGGCCAGCUGCAAUCCCGACAGAUAUUAUAGAAGAGAUCGAGUGGGACAUGGUUGGAGGAGAGAAAGAAGCGGAGACGUUACACUUCUAGUCAAAAGUAUAGCAAUAGAGAACAAUGGAGCUGGAAACAAAUGGCAAUGGAGAAGCCAUUAGACACACAAAGAAAAGAACGAGCUAAAACAAAAAUACAAAAAAAGGUUUGGAGAAUAAGAGCUAAAAUAGAUGGACAAAGAAAUGAAGAACGUUCGUGGUAGCCAGCAAAAGCGUCUCAAUCGGUAGCUUCGCAAUGAUUGUUUUUUUGGGAGUGUUCAGAACUUCAGAAAAGGGCACUGGGCAUAUGGGAAGAUAUAUAGACAAUAGAUAACGUCAUAAAAGUCAAUACAUUCUUAGGGGCCAAAGUAUGAUAAACGAUAUAAGAUAUAUCUAGUAUACCAAGCCAAGUAUGUACAAAAAAUUGGUUUUCAUCGUUGGGAUUCUAACUAGCUUUUCAUUCAUGAGAGCGUGGUGCUCAAAUAAAUAUUUUAUUUGUAUACUUCCUCACCCUCGGACUCCACUCAUUGCAGCGAGACUUAUGCGAGCAAUGGAGCGUUCUCCUCAGCUGCUAUGCAAAAUCCAGCACACAACUUUUGUUCAAGUACGCUUUAUGGGGCUGCAGACGCCGCUAUUGGAGUUUUAGCGAACAGAAGUUUUAAAUUAAAUGGCACAGAACCUUAAACAUGGUCAUGGUAGACCUUAAUUGCGACCUUGUUGCAUUAGGUAAAAGUCGAGUCCGACUUUGCCCCUCCUUGGGAUCCCGUCUGGCAUUUCAAUUUUAUGGUUAUUGUUAUAACAUUAUCAACAUGCUGUUAUGCAGCAGCCAGCAGUCCAACAUCUCUUUGCACACUCGCCCCACGGCGAUUUGUGCGGCUUAGUCGUCGUCUUGGCUUCAGACCUAUUAAAUAUCAGUCACAUUGUUGUUUGUCAGUGAUUUUUAUUGAGCGACACGAACAACGACACACGUUGUUCUGGGUUUUGAGCGACUUACAAUACACAAUACAUAAGAUCUUGUUGCUGUAUCUGCCUUUUAAAAUAAUAAAUGUCUGACGAGCGUGGACUAGUCUUCGUCCUGGAAGUCACUUACGUCUUCAGCAGACAGGGGCAGAUUGGGUGGCAGCGGAUAUCAAUAGGGCGUCAGGAAGAGUGUGCGAAGGCAGCUGCUAUAUACAGCAGUAGAUUUGCAAUCGGUCUUUUUUUAACUUCGGCUACCCUUGUAGUUAUAAGAAAUAGUAUAUUAUUUACGU
Drosophila subpulchrella is the source of this 3570-nucleotide long non-coding RNA. RefSeq lists it as uncharacterized. The transcript has 3 exons. The record is from RefSeq and is a predicted model, not a curated record. Lineage: Eukaryota; Metazoa; Arthropoda; Insecta; Diptera; Drosophilidae.